Molecule: ribosomal RNA, 205 nt
Filed under: uncultured bacterium
Lineage: Bacteria
Description: partial 16S ribosomal RNA
Rfam family: Bacterial small subunit ribosomal RNA
Source: RNAcentral
UGGGGAAUAUUGCACAAUGGGCGCAGGCCUGAUGCAGCCAUGCCGCGUGUGUGAAGAAGGCCUUCGGGUUGUAAAGCACUUUGCAGCGAGGAGGAAGGGUUCAGUGUUAAUAGCACUGUUCAUUGACGUUACUCGCAGAAGAAGCACCGGCUAACUACGUGCCGAGCAGCCGCGGUAAUACGUAGGGUGCAAGCGUUAUCCGGAA